GGUGUUGUAGCUCAGUGGUAGAGUGCUUGCCUUGCAUGUAUGAGAUGCUGGGUUGGAUCUCCAGCACUA
This 69-nucleotide transfer RNA is filed under the name Ictidomys tridecemlineatus (thirteen-lined ground squirrel). RNAcentral describes it as "Spermophilus tridecemlineatus (thirteen-lined ground squirrel) tRNA". It matches the Rfam family "tRNA". Rfam says of the family: Transfer RNA (tRNA) molecules are approximately 80 nucleotides in length. Their secondary structure includes four short double-helical elements and three loops (D, anti-codon, and T loops). Lineage: Eukaryota; Metazoa; Chordata; Mammalia; Rodentia; Sciuridae. The record is from Rfam by way of RNAcentral.